AGAGUUUGAUCCUGGCUCAGGAUGAACGCUGGCGGCGUGCUUAAUACAUGCAAGUCGAACGAAGCACUUUUGACAGAUCCCUUCGGGGUGAAGAUGAUUGUGACUUAGUGGCGGACGGGUGAGUAACGCGUGGGGAACCUGCCUCGUGCUGGGGGAUAACAGUUAGAAAUGACUGCUAAUACCGCAUAAGCGCACAGUAAGGCAUCUUACAGUGUGAAAAGAUUUAUCGGCAUGAGAUGGACCCGCGUCUGAUUAGGUAGUUGGCGGGGUAACGGCCCACCAAGCCCGCGAUCAGUAGCCGACUUGAGAGAGUGAUCGGCCACAUUGGGACUGAGACACGGCCCAGACUCCUACGGGAGGCAGCAGUAGGGAAUAUUGCACAAUGGGGGAAACCCUGAUGCAGCGACGCCGCGUGAGUGAUGAAGUAUUUCGGUACGUAAAACUCUAUCAGCAGGGAAGAUAAUGACGGUACCUGACUAAGAAGCCCCGGCUAACUACGUGCCAGCAGCCGCGGUAAUACGUAGGGGGCAAGCGUUAUCCGGAUUUACUGGGUGUAAAAGGGAGUGUAGGUGGUCUGGCAAGUCAUAUGUGAAAGCCCGCGGCUCAACUGCGGGACUGCAUUUGAAACUGUCAGACUGGAGUGCAGGAGAGGAAAGUGGAAUUCCUAGUGUAGCGGUGAAAAUGCGUACAUAUU
This 694-nucleotide ribosomal RNA is filed under the name uncultured bacterium. Its description in RNAcentral is "bacterial SSU rRNA". It matches the Rfam family "Bacterial small subunit ribosomal RNA", at positions 8 to 698 of the family's 1533-position model. The record is from RNAcentral.